This is a non-coding RNA of Gossypium raimondii (Peruvian cotton), 106 nucleotides long. NCBI's taxonomy places the organism in Eukaryota, Viridiplantae, Streptophyta, Magnoliopsida, Malvales, Malvaceae. The record is from Rfam.
AAUUUGUGGUGUGGGAAUCUCUAAAUCAAUGUUUUAAAACUUCCACAUGUUUCAUGAAAACUUUCCCCUUCUAAUUGUUUAAACAUCGAAAUUUCCAUUCUUAGCU